Molecule: ribosomal RNA, 501 nt
Filed under: uncultured bacterium
Lineage: Bacteria
Description: partial 16S ribosomal RNA
Rfam family: Bacterial small subunit ribosomal RNA
Source: RNAcentral
AUUGAACGCUGGCGGCAGGCUUAACACAUGCAAGUCGAGCGGGGGAAGGUAGCUUGCUACUGGACCUAGCGGCGGACGGGUGAGUAAUGCUUAGGAAUCUGCCUACUAGUGGGGGACAACAUCUCGAAAGGGAUGCUAAUACCGCAUACAUCCUACGGGAGAAAGCAGGGGAUCUGCGGACCUUGCGCUAAUAGAUGAGCCUAAGUCGGAUUAGCUAGUUGGUGGGGUAAAGGCCUACCAAGGCGACGAUCUGUAGCGGGUCUGAGAGGAUGAUCCGCCACACUGGGACUGAGACACGGCCCAGACUCCUACGGGAGGCAGCAGUGGGGAAUAUUGGACAAUGGGGGGAACCCUGAUCCAGCCAUGCCGCGUGUGUGAAGAAGGCCUUAUGGUUGUAAAGCACUUUAAGCGAGGAGGAGGCUACUCUAGUUAAUACCUAGGGAUAGUGGACGUUACUCGCAGAAUAAGCACCGGCUAACUCUGUGCCAGCAGCCGCAGUAA